GGUGUCUCUCGGGCUGACUUUUGAAGGUCUGGAGCUGGCCGUUUAUGAGGGUUUAUAAGGGUUUUAAGCGCUCCGGCCAUGGGCACCAACCCGAUCUUCCAGCCCCUGCGGACGGACUGCCCCCCCCCCGCCCCGGGGGGAUUGGCUGCUCUGGGACCCCGAGCCCAGAGGGCAGUGAGAAGCUGACAAACCUUAAAUACAGACCAGAAGAGGAGUUUGGGGCUUGACACCUGACAUCUUAACACCAGUUCCUGUUUCUUGAGGAAGGAAGAGGUAAAAUAAAUCAGCGUUUACUGUGUAGUUCUCCAUCCCCAGAAGUCCUGAUGAAGACCCUCUCAGCUUCUACUUGAACGUGAAUAUGAGCAACUGAUCAUCUGUUCUGAAGUCAGCCCCUGGCCUGAUUCUGACUCAUGGUAUUGACCUUCUCCAUCAUCACCUUCCACAAAUUUGAUUCCUAUCUAUUCUGCCUGGAAUGGUUCACGAGUAUAAUCACCAUUUAUGUUCCUGACGAAAGCAGGUGAAGACAUUCGUUGAGAGAGGCAAUUUCCAUGCGUGCAGGCAAAGUGUGUGCUGAGAUGAUGAGUUGCUGGAGACCAGGGUGGACUCUUCAGACCCAGAAUAGGCCUCUGGCAGGCAUUCUAUCAGGCACUCCAAGCUGUGAAGUGCAUGGGGGGAGAAAGAAGAGAUUUCAGAGAAUGAACACAUACAGAGAGAGAGGCAAGAGAUGGUGAGUGGGGAUGUCUUGCAUACUGAUAUCCUGAGGAAAGUGGGAAAAUUGGACCCUGGCUUGCUCUGCCAAUGCCGUGAAGCAGUCCGCACCAGGGGCUCCCUUGUGCCUGCAUAGCCUUUCCCAGGGUGUGCUCAAAUCCUUUGGCCACUAGGUGUCCUAGGUCACAAUGGAGGACCCUGUGUCAUCUGCCUGGUGGACUGGAUCUCUGCCAUUGGCUAAGUCUUGUCACCAGGCCCAUCAUAAGCUCUGCCCACUCUUCCGGUGGGGAGACUCUCUCCAUGGUGAUGGCAAAGAAACCUUAGUCCCGCCCACCUGGCCUUGACUUCACCUACCUGGCCUGCUGACCCUCACCCAGACCUCUGUGUGGAUGAAAAUGAAUGUCCACCAGUGGCCCAGUGUCAGCGUCUGGUAUAAAGGAUUCGGGACGUUUCCUGAGGCAGAAGGCAGCCUACGUCUGCGGGUACCUGGAAGUCUAGUGACUUGUGAUGCUGCUGCCAGUGAGAAAUGGUGACUCCCACACUCACAUAUCCCCUGGUGGCAGAAUGAUAGUGAUGGGUGGAGAAACAUGGCUCCGGAGCACAUGUUCAGUGGGGCACCGGCCAAAUGUCAGGGCCAGGAGUGGACGUCGUGGAGCUGCAUGGCGUGCCAGUGAAGGGCCCAAGGAUUUCUCCAAUGAGGCAAAAUGCAGAUCAAGCCAAGGAACACAAAGAUAAAGCAGCUGAAGAAAUUAAAAAGGUUACUCAAGAACAUAGUUAAAAAUUUAAUAAGCUGCAAGAAACCAUAGAGAGACUGCAAUCAGAGAUUCAGAAGAUUAACAAUAAAAUUACAGAGUCAGAAAACUCAAUAGAAAGUAAUAAGAGCACAAUUGAGGAAUUGGAAGGCAGAAUUACUGAGAUGGAAGAUCAAACUCUUGGGACUAAUAUAUUUGAAGAGAAAGCAGAUAAAAGAAUUUUAAAUGAAGAAAUCCAAAGAAUCAUGUGGGACUUUAUCAAGAGAAAUAACUAUGAGUGAUUUCAGUACCAGAACAGGGAGGGCUAACAGAAAAUACAGAGGGAACUGUUGAAGAUUUGUUGGCAGAACUUCCCUGAUAUCAUGAAAGAUGCUCAUCGAAUUCCACAUACGGUAGAUCUCAAAAGAAAGUGACCGAGACACAUAAUAAUCAAACUUGCCAAAAUCAAAUAUAAAGAGAAUUUUAAGAGAGGCUAGGGAUAAAGGAAGUCACCAACAAAGGAGAGUAAAUAAUAAAAAACUUGGACUACUCAGCAGAAAUCAUGCAGGCAAGAAGGCAAAGGGAUGACUUACACAAAAUAUUGAAGGAAAAAAAUUGCCAGCCAGGAAUCAAACCAUAACCCUGGCCCUCUGGCCUUCGGGCCCUCUGGCCUUAGCCCUCUAACUCUAGCCCCUAAGCCCUGAGCCCCAAAGCCCCUAAGACCCUAAGCCCUUAGGUCCUAACCCCCAAGGCCCUAAACUCUAACCCUAACCCAAACCCUAACCCCUAUUCCCUAAACUCUACAACCUAAACACCUACACCCCAAAACACUACACAUCAAAACCCUACACACUAAACCCUAUACUCUAAGCCUCAAACCCUAAACCCAAACCUCAAAUCCCAAACCCCAAACCCUAAACCUAACCGUAAACCCUAAACCCUAACACCUAACCCUAACCCCUAACCACCCUAACCCUAAUGACCCUAACCCUCGAACCCUAACCCUCUAACGCUAACAUGAAACCCUAAUCCGAAACCCUAACCCUCUAACUCUAACCUCUAACCCUAACCCUCUAACCCUAGCCCUAAUCCUAACCCCAACCUCCAAACCUAACCCCAAACCCUAAACCUCAAAUCCCUAGCCCUAAACCUAAGAAUGAGCCUAAGCCUAACCCUAUCACUUAACUCUAAACCCUAAACCAUAACACUUAAAACCCUAACACCCUUAGCCCUAACACAUUUAACCCUAACACCCUAAACGCCAAAACCCUAAACACUAACACCCUUAACUCCAACCCCUAACCCCUAAACCCUAAGCUUAAACACUAAACCGUCUAACCCUCUAACCCUAAUACCCUAAACCCUAACCCCAGCCCCCAGCCUUAACGCUCACUCUAAGCCUUAAACCUUAAGCCCUAAACCCUAGGCUCUAAGCCCUAAGCCCUAAACUCUAAAUCCUAAAACCCUAAACUCUAAGCCCUAAGCCUAACCCUCUAAUCCUAAACCCUAAAACCUUACCCCAAACCCAUCCCAAACCCCUAAACCUGAACCCCUAAGCCCUAGCCCUAACCCUAAUCCUCUAAGCCUAACCCUCUAACCCUAACUCUCUAACCCUAACCACAACACCAACCCCAACCUCUGAACCCAAAAACCCUAACCCCCUAACCCCAAGCUUCUGAACCCUAAGCCUAAACCCUCUAACCCUAAAUCCUAACCUUCACCCCCUCACACCCUCACCUUCUCACUCCCUCACUCUAUAAUCUUCUCAACUUCUAACCCCCUCACCCUCUAACCCCUCACCCUCUAACUCCCUCAAUCUCUAACCCCCAACCCUCUAGACCCCAACCCUCUAACACCCACCCUCUAACCCCAAACCACAUAUCCCAAACAGACCCAACACCAACCCCAACCCUAAACCUAAACCCUGACCCCUAAAACCUAAACCAAACCCUAACGACUAAACCCCAAAACCCUAAACCCCAAACUGCAACCCCUAACACCUAACCUUAACUCCAAACUCUAACCUCAAACCCUAAACCUAACCCUAACACCUAACCCCAACCAAAAAACCCUAACCCUAAACUCUAACCCCAAACCCUAACGACCCUAACUCUAACAACCCUAACCUUAACAUCCCUAAGCCCAAACCCUAACCCUUUUUGUUAGCAGCCAUAGCACUUAACCACUAGCCACCAGGGUUUCCAUGAGCAGUCACAGGAAUAGACACAUGCACACCCGUGUUCACUGCAACAUUAUUCACAGUUGCAAAAAGAUGGAAACAACCUAAGUGCUCGUCCACAGAGGAAUGGAUAAACAAACUACGGUACAUACACAGUGGAACACUACACGACAAUAAAGACCAAUGAUGAAUCUCCGAAACAUCUCACACCAUGGAUGAAUCUGGGGCGCAUCACACUAAGUCAAUCACAAAACGUCAUAUACAGUAAGAGACCACUAUCAUAAAAACUCAUGAAAACAUUUACGCACAGAAACAAUCCUUGAUGUUCACCAGGGAGACGAAGAGCGGGUAGAGAAAAGCCAACUAAACAAUAACCAAAAAAACCAAACCCACUGCUGUCGAGUUGAUUCCAGCUCAUAGCGACCCUACAGGACAGAUUAGAACUGCCCCCAUAGAGUUUCCAAGGAGUGCUUGGUGGAUUCGAACUGCAGACCUUUGGUUAGCACCGGUGGCUCUUAACCACUACGCCACCAGGGUUUCCAACCAAACAACAGAUCGGUGGUAACUCUGGCGAAGGAAAGACGGUACACAAGACUGGGGAAUCAAUCUCAGCCUCACUCUAACCCUAACCCUAAACCACUUGUGCCCGAGCCUAGUAACCCCAGCCCUAACCCCAACCCCCAACCACCUAAAACCUGUACCCCUAAACCUAACUCCCAAACCUCUAACCCCCAAACCUGGACCCCUAACACCAAACCCUAACCCCUAACCCUAAUCCUCUAACCCUUCUGCAUCUCUGGGCCUCUCGACUCUCCGUCUAUUUUCUUCCUCCAAAUCCUACUAACACUCAGUGGAAUUUUGAAGUUUGAGCUGUGCUUUGCUUCUUGUUGUCUCCACCGGUCCCAUCAAGGCACUGCAUCAUUUGCUCUGCUUCACUAUUCAGUUCCAAAACCAUGGCUUAGAAUCGCCUGACACUGGACUUCAGCGAUUCGGUGCAAGGCCGCGAGAGGGCGCGCGCACCGCCGGUUCUGUUCUGCCCACCAGGCCCUCUGAGCAUGGGAACCUCCUGGACCUAAGCCCGGACG
This is a long non-coding RNA of Loxodonta africana (African savanna elephant), 4703 nucleotides long. RefSeq lists it as uncharacterized. The record is from RefSeq and is a predicted model, not a curated record. The transcript has 5 exons. Lineage: Eukaryota; Metazoa; Chordata; Mammalia; Proboscidea; Elephantidae.